AGCUCCAAUAGCGUAUAUUAAAGUUGUUGCAGUUAAAAAGCUCGUAGUCGAAUUUCGGAUUUGGCUUUCCGGUCUACCUUAUGGUUAGUACUGGUUUAGCUGGAUCUUACCUUCUGGGGGAACUAUUAUGCUCUUUAUUGAGUGUGAUUGGGAACCAGGACAUUUACUUUGAAAAAAUUAGAGUGUUUAAGGCAGGCUUAUGCUUGAAUACAUUAGCAUGGAAUAAUGAAAUAGGACUUUGGUUCUAUUUUGUUGGUUUCUAGGACCAAAGUAAUGAUCAAUAGGAACAGUUGGGGGCAUUAGUAUUGAGACGUUAGAGGUGAAAUUCUUGGAUCGUCUCAAGACUAACUACUGCGAAGCAUUUGCCAAGGAUGUUUUCA
Molecule: ribosomal RNA, 380 nt
Filed under: uncultured fungus
Lineage: Eukaryota; Fungi
Description: SSU rRNA
Rfam family: Eukaryotic small subunit ribosomal RNA
Source: RNAcentral